This is a long non-coding RNA of Cornus florida, 1814 nucleotides long. RefSeq lists it as uncharacterized. The record is from RefSeq and is a predicted model, not a curated record. NCBI's taxonomy places the organism in Eukaryota, Viridiplantae, Streptophyta, Magnoliopsida, Cornales, Cornaceae. The transcript is spliced from 2 exons.
UAAAGGAAUGUGGAGUCCGCCACUUUGGUGGAUCCCAUUUACAUUGACUAAAGUGUUGAAUGCGUUAUCUAGUGACGUUAAACCUAGUUUCAUAGUGUUCUUCAACUCUAUUUCUUCCUCACUUCCCUCUGUUUUCCUUUUUGCAUUAGUUAGAUAUGUUUUCUUGACUUUUAUUCUCUCUUUCAGGCCUUAAGUGACUUUCCAUGGUCUCUUAAGAUCGAUCGUAUUCCCGUAUGAUCAAUCGCGUCUCUCAUGCCUUAGAAAAUUUUCUGAAAAAGCCCAAAAUGUGUUCUCUGGCGAUCGAUCGUGCCUGCAUAAGAAAAAUUCUCUGCACAUGCUUCAAAAUCAGCUAUCUGGGGAUCGAUCGUGCUUUGGUAGGAAUGAUUGUAUUUCUCAUGCCUUAAAAAAUUUAUGAAAAUCCUAAAAACUAGUUCUCUGGCGAUCGAUCGUAUGGCAAAAUAGGAUCGAUCGUGGUUGUAUAGAAAAAUUCUCUGUAGAUGUCUUAUAAUAUGCUCUCUGUUGAUUAAUCGUAUGAAUUUCCAUGACCGAUCAUUGAUUAUGUGCUCAGUCACAGCUGCUCUGCAAUUAUUGCUCUCUGGCGAUUGAUCGUGUUCAAGACAGGAUCAAUCGUGCUGUUCUCAUUUCCUCUGAAAUUCCAUCGAUCAUGCUAGGACAAUCAAUCUUAUUCAAAACACGAUCGAUCGUGCAGCGGCAGUGUGUUUUAAAACACUAUUCUGGCCCUAUUCUCUUCCAUUUUUCCCGAAGCCCUAAGCUAAUCUCUUUCUCCCUCGCGCCUCCUCCACCUUUCUUCAUCCCCUCUCAAGCUUUGGAAGCUCGAUUUGAGCACGAAAAUAACAGCAUCGCCUCUACCGUACUUCUCCUCUUCAUCCUCCUCGCGGUUUUCUCUCUCUACCUCUCGGACUUCUUCAUCUCUCAUUCCGGUGUUUAUACCAAAAAUAAGUUAAUUCAGCAAAAUAAGAGCUUAAAAGAAGCAAUCUCAAGCUGAAUGGAAGAAAGGAGCAAAGUGGAAGCAAAGUGUGGAAAAAUAGCAAGUUCGAUCAAUCUCAAUAAUUCUUCGAUCGAUCUCACAUUGAUCGAUCUAGACAUUUCAAGAUAGAUCCAAGCCUUUGUCCUUAUCCAAAAGAUUCCACCAUCUUCAAUUGAUCCAGCUUUUCUCAGAUCAAUCGAAAUUGUUUGAUCUUAUCCUCACCUACCACCGCACCUACCACUUUUGUCUUUUUCCCAAAAUAUCCCAAAACAUCUCAGAGAUUUGUCUUCAUUCAAAAAGGCACCGCCAAGGAUGAUUGAUCUCUACAGCAUUUGAUCGAUCUCACCUAAGUUCAAUCGAUCUCACCAAAGUUCGAUCGAUCGAACCUCCUCAAGUCCGAAAUAAAACAGAGUCCAGCUCAUUAAAAGAUGGCUCAUGGUGCAAUCAUUGCAAGGACUUUAGUGCACAAGUCCAGACCAUUGGGUGUGACACUUGAGCCUUCUAUAUAAGGAUUUAGAGCAUUUUAAGAGCAUAAUUUCAUCAACAUUCAUCAUACUUACACAUCUCAUAUCACAUAUCUUGGAGAGGAGGCUAGAGACUACAGAGAUCUUUACACAUUUUGGGAGUUCUUCCAUUCUUCUAGGGUUUUCAUCAAGAAGGAGGUCAUUCCUACCAUAGAGAUAGCCCUUGAGGGUUGGAUGACUACUUCAAUGAGUGGCUAGACAUCUACUUGGGGCGAGAGUAGCCCCUAAGUUUGCUUCCUAGACCUAGUGUUUUGUAUAUUUUUGGGGAUUUACUUGUAAUAAAUGUUUUGAUCUUAAAUUUA